AAUGUCCUAUGAUUUGUCUGUAUGAUAGAUGCAAAUGGGGCAAUGAAGCGACGGAAAAUGCAAGCAAUUGACGUAUUCUCUCUUUCACCAGGAGAAAGAGUUGUUGUGGAAUGGAAUUGCCGACACCAACCAAUUGAUCUGUCUGGGGGGAUGAUUGCCCAAUUUUUGGGGCUUAUUGCAAGCAAUUGUCAAAACUUUCCCAUCGGAUACGAAAAGUGGCAAAAGAUUCCAGAGUGCUAUAAAGAUCAUGUGUGGAACAAUAUUAUCAAGACAAAAAUGGAGAGUGAACGAUGAUGGACAUAAGAGUUACAUUUUCAAAAGUUUGGGGAAGAAAUGGCGGGACCAUCGAUAUAACCUAUAUACUUCUGCCCAAUGUGAUCCUGAUGGUCCUCGUGAAGCCAACAUUGCAAAGAAGCCUCCUGAGGUUCCUUUAGAACAAUGGGUUGCUUUUGUUGAUUUACAGGGCUCGGCCUGAAACAAAGGCAAAGGCUGAAAAAAAUUCACAAAAUCGGACCAAGUUAACAAUGCCACACACAUUGGUCAAAAUCUUUUGCUCGCCUGUAGAAAGAGAUGGAAACCCAACUUCAUCAGCCCAUUACAAGAGCUGAAUUAUUUCAAGUCAGCCAUACAACCUAAGAUGGAUCUUUUGUAAAUGAAGAGGCUAGGGAAAAUCAUGAAGAGUUUAGUCAAUCAGACUCAAAACUCAUCCGAAAAUGAGGCAUUUAUUAAUGUUUUUGGCAAAGACCACCCUGGUUAUGUUCGAGGGUUGGGACUUGGAGUUGUCCCAACCCAAGUGUAUGGCGCAUCGGGUUGCUCAAGCAGCAGUCAUUGUUCAAGUUGGGCCACAUCAUCCGAGCUUAACGUCCUUAAGGAGACAAUGCAAUAAUUAACCCAACAAGUUCAACAGAAUCAGAUCCAAAUAGCAUUUCUCACCCAACAACUAGGAAACCAAGGCCAAAAUAUGGAAAAUACAGGAUCCCCAGCUAUUGGAAGGCGUUCAUCGCAAGCCAGUCGGUCACCUCCUGGAGAAGAAUGUUCAAACCCUACUAUAUAGGUUUCCUCCUUAAAAGCUUACAAGUUAAAUGGAGAUGGAGCAUGGUUAUAUAUAUAUUACCUAAGGAAAACCUAUUUGGAAUUUUGGACUUUGUUUAUCACUUUUGUGGUUUGAAUUUGAUCCAAAUUAGGUUACUGCUUAUUGGAUUUCUGAAUAUUACAUGAUUUUUGUGAAUUUUCAAUACUAUUAUGUUUGGAUAUGCAUGUGUAUCUUAAUUUCAGUACUAUUAUGUAUGGGUAUGGCAUUGAUUUAAUAAUGAUUUGAAUUUGUCUAAUCUAUUUGGUUGUGUAAGCAUGUGCUGCAACACAGCAAGCCAGAAGAACUAUCUGCUAUCAUUUGCAAACUCAUUGAGAGGGCUUGAGCUUCUCUGCGAAUCCAUCAAGAUCCACGAGGUUGAUGUGAUCCCCAAAUCCGGAGAAGAUAAGUUGAUAAUCUUGGAUUUGUUGGGGUGGAUUAAGGCGAAUGUUAUUAAGGAAAGGCCAGAGAUGUUCAUGAAGGAGACUCUGAGGCCUGGAGUUUUGGUACUUGUUAUGUUUAUGAUUGUAACCUUGAUACAACACUUGAAGAGAAAGAUCUAGAUGUGGUGGUUUUCAUUUCAACCAAUGUGGCUGAUGAUGCUUUCCAAAAAGAUUAUUCUAGAUGACUACUACAAUGUUAUAUUUGAAUUUGGUGUAGUUUUGAGAUGGUCUGUAGUAGUCCAUGUAAAAUUUGAUUAGUAAAAUCAUUAAAUUCCCUUCAUGGUGUUUCAA
This is a long non-coding RNA of Dioscorea cayenensis subsp. rotundata (Guinea yam), 1803 nucleotides long. RefSeq lists it as uncharacterized. The record is from RefSeq and is a predicted model, not a curated record. The transcript has 10 exons. NCBI's taxonomy places the organism in Eukaryota, Viridiplantae, Streptophyta, Magnoliopsida, Dioscoreales, Dioscoreaceae.